UACAGAGGUGUCAAGCGUUGCUCGGUGUCACUGGGCUUAAAGGGCGCGUAGGCUGUGCAGUACGGCUCGGGUGAAAUCCCUCGGCCCAACCGAGGAACCGCCCGGGCGACGGCUGUGCUGGACUGCAUCAGGGGCGGAUGGAACUCCCGGUGGAGCGGUGAAAUGCGUAGAUAUCGGGAGGAACGCCGGUGGCGAAAGCGAUCCGCUGGGGUGCAUGUGACGCUGAGGCGCGAAAGCCAGGGGAGCAAACGGG
This 253-nucleotide ribosomal RNA is filed under the name uncultured bacterium. Its description in RNAcentral is "partial 16S ribosomal RNA". It matches the Rfam family "Bacterial small subunit ribosomal RNA", at positions 524 to 776 of the family's 1533-position model. The record is from RNAcentral.